This 253-nucleotide ribosomal RNA is filed under the name uncultured bacterium. RNAcentral's name for it is "partial 16S ribosomal RNA". It matches the Rfam family "Bacterial small subunit ribosomal RNA", at positions 524 to 776 of the family's 1533-position model. The record is from RNAcentral.
UACGAAGGGGGCUAGCGUUGUUCGGAUUUACUGGGCGUAAAGCGCACGUAGGCAGAUCGAUCAGUCAGGGGUGAAAUCCCAGAGCUCAACUCUGGAACUGCCUUUGAUACUGUCGAUCUGGAGUAUGGAAGAGGUGAGUGGAAUUCCGAGUGUAGAGGUGAAAUUCGUAGAUAUUCGGAGGAACACCAGUGGCGAAGGCGGCUCACUGGUCCAUUACUGACGCUGAGGUGCGAAAGCGUGGGGAGCAAACAGG